UUGAGGAGGAGGUGACCUUGGCGGUGUAGGUGGAAGCGGCGGUGGAGGAGGAGGUGGUAGCCAACACUGUUCAUAUAUAUCUAUUUUUUAUUUUAAUUGGGUAGCCCACAUAAUAUUUGGACAUACAAAAAAAGAAAAAUUUGCGGCCUGAGGUGCAUUUCUUGCAGUCCUGAUGCAUGGAGAAAUGCUCAACUCCUGAUGCAUGGAGAAAAGGCCUUCACAAGCCUCUGCUAAUGGGUACCUAGUUUAUACUAAGUGACCCAUAGGUUGAGGAGGCGGUGACCGUGGCGGUGGAGGAGGAGGAUGAGGUAGCCAACACUGUUUUUUAUAUAUAUAUAUCUGUGCCUACCAUGGUGAUCACGGGUAACAGGGAAUCAGGGUUCCAUUCCAUACAGGGACCCUGAGAAAUGGCCACCACAUGCAAGGAAGGCAGCAGGCGCGCAAAUGACCCACUCCCGACGCGGGAAGGUAGUGACGACAAAUAACUCUUUAGUGGCCCUGUAAUUGUAAUGAGUCCACUUGAAAUCCUUUAACUCUGAUCAAUUGGAGGGAAGUCUGGUGCAGAGUCACUGACCCGUGCAUGCUGCAGCUGAAACUCCACU
Pelobates cultripes (western spadefoot toad) is the source of this 602-nucleotide non-coding RNA. The record is from the annotation of a GenBank genome assembly. Lineage: Eukaryota; Metazoa; Chordata; Amphibia; Anura; Pelobatidae.